This 425-nucleotide ribosomal RNA is filed under the name uncultured bacterium. RNAcentral describes it as "bacterial SSU rRNA". It matches the Rfam family "Bacterial small subunit ribosomal RNA", at positions 354 to 796 of the family's 1533-position model. The record is from RNAcentral.
GUGGGGAAUCUUAGACAAUGGGCGCAAGCCUGAUCUAGCCAUGCCGCGUGAGCGAUGAAGGCCUUAGGGUUGUAAAGCUCUUUCGUGGGGGAAGAUAAUGACUGUACCCCAAGAAGAAGCCCCGGCUAACUCCGUGCCAGCAGCCGCGAUAAUACGGAGGGGGCUAGCGUUGUUCGGAAUUACUGGGCGUAAAGCGCACGUAGGCGGACUGGAAAGUCAGGGGUGAAAUCCCGGGGCUCAACCCCGGAACUGCCUUUGAAACUCCCAGUCUUGAGUUCGAGAGAGGUGAGUGGAAUUCCGAGUGUAGAAGUGAAAUUCGUAGAUAUUCGGAGGAACACCAGUGGCGAAGGCGGCUCACUGGCUCGAUACUGACGCUGAGGUGCGAAAGCGUGGGGAGCAAACAGGAUUAGAAACCCGUGUAGUCC